Molecule: transfer RNA, 72 nt
Organism: Exophiala dermatitidis
Lineage: Eukaryota; Fungi; Ascomycota; Eurotiomycetes; Chaetothyriales; Herpotrichiellaceae
Rfam family: tRNA
About the family: Transfer RNA (tRNA) molecules are approximately 80 nucleotides in length. Their secondary structure includes four short double-helical elements and three loops (D, anti-codon, and T loops).
Source: Rfam
ACGGCUAUAUGUUAAUUGGUAGACCCGUCGUCUUCCAAACGAAGAGUGUCAGUUCGAGUCUGACUGGCCGUA